This 6178-nucleotide long non-coding RNA is filed under the name Triticum aestivum (bread wheat). RNAcentral's name for it is "long non-coding RNA (TAES_LNC028514)". Lineage: Eukaryota; Viridiplantae; Streptophyta; Magnoliopsida; Poales; Poaceae. The record is from RNAcentral.
GCCAAUCCAUUUCUUCUUUCAAUUUCAACUUUCACAGUCUGGUUUGGGGAAUCUUUCUAUGGUUUGGGUUUCGGUUGAUUGGGCAUUUUGGGGAUUUCAUUAGUUUAUCCAAUCACCUCCUGAUUUCUAUCCUGAGAUUUGAGCCGCAAAUAGAGCUAAUUGCAACUAACAGAUAGUAUUGAUCACUAAACUUGAUUAAUCAACUUUAACAGAAAACAAUGGGCUUAAACAUGGUUAGCCGAAAAUAUAUAAUUUGAGGCUUUAAACAUUAAGCAGAAGUCAAGUUAGGGUUCUAGCCGAGAUUAACCAUGCUCUAGAUACCAAUAAUAGAUAUAAUUCCUUUAGAUUAACUUACACAUGAUCUUAAUAUCAUGAUUAGAACACCUCUUAUGCGGAAUAAUAGUGACUAACCGUGAUUGGCAGGAAUCAGCAGAAGAUAGCCUAUGGAUGCACCUUGGGGUCUCCGGCAGUGAAGACGUGCCCGGGGAAGAAGGGCAGCACCACCUGGGUGACGUAGAUGGCAGCAGGCGCUUGUGGAGAUGCAGCAGCUGGUCCAGGAGCCUCGCUGGUGGCAGCAGGAAACCGCCGGCACUGCCUUCAUGGCGGCCGAUGGUGGUCGAUGGUCUUCACAUACCUCACCACAUGUUUAGGAUCGGCAGUUGGGGGCUUUGUUCGUGGUUCUGUUAUUUGUAACAAAUCCCCCCUUUUCCUUAUAUAUGUGUGUGUGUUGGAUACAUGGGACCAAAACCAAAAGUUGUUAUAUGUGCUCCCGAUCAAGGCACAAUCGUGAGAGGGUGGAGACUUUGUCUCCCUUAUUUUUCUCUUGGUUUGUUUACCGUGAGAUCAAUUCCAACACGGUGAGGUUCUGGAGGCCGACCUCCUCCUGCCCGCCGCAAUCCCUGGCCCAGCUGAGGCCGAGGCCGAGGGCGGCGCCCUCCCAGUCCCACAUGCUGAGGGCGGGGAUCUUCCUGCCGCGGCUGAGGUCGACCUGCCCCCGCCCGCCGACGCCGAGGGCGGUGAUCUUCCUCCGGUGGAGCGCCUACCGGUCAAGCUGGUGGACACCUACAUCGAGAUGACCGGCGUCCGCGCGCAGGCGCAGGUUGUCUACCAGGGGUGGCAGCAGGCGCGCGCAGACACGCAGGAUCCUGUGGCCUGGAAGACCCUCGGGGCAAAGCUCGGGAUGGUCCUAAUUUCCAGGAUCAAAAGGCUUUUCUAACCCAUGUUGGCAACAUUAACAUAAAUGGGUAAAUGGUAAGCCUUAGUAAGCGGAACCGCAAAGACUUUAUAAAUCAAACAUCAUAGGUUUGAUCCUGGACUCUAUCUUUCACAACAGAAACAUAAUAUCAAUGGUUUUGGCAAUACCAAUUGACUUGUUGUUACUCAAAUAGAGAACUGCGUGUUCAUAUUGCAGUAUGUGGUUACAAAAUGUUGUCUGUCACCAUAAUUUCAGGAAUAAAACUUCUUGACAUACAACCUUCCCAAUAGCCUCUUAACAUGCCACAUAAGUAACUGCAUUAUUUUAAUGCCAUUAGUGUCAUUAUAGAGCUUUUCCACGAUAUAGCUCCAUGUGUGAGAGUGAGGAUGUAACAUAGCGUGGAAACUUCAAGAUCCACACAUCUCGCAGAAACAAUGUCUGAAUGUCUUAGGAUAUCGAAGAUAUUAGACUUCGUAUUAGUGAGCAUGUAAACUUUAUUGUCUUGCAUAUUUGUAAGACAUUUGGCGGCUUUUCCAGUGGUCCAUUUCUAGACUUACUUCUAUAUUUUCCAAUUAUCCCGAUCACAAAUAAGGGCAUGUUCAUACUUGAAUACACAUAUUGCUUCUGACAGUUGAAGCAUAAGGAACCGACAUUAUCUGAUCAGUUCAUAAUGGUUCCUUGGACACUAAAAUGUCCACCUUUAUUGCCCUUGACUUUAGUAGCAGGUGCAAUACGAGUACUACCACAUAAUAUAUUUUCUCUUUCGUACUCUAUCAAUCAAUCGUAUGUCUUCAUAAUAAAACUUAUACUCCUUUUGGACCUAUAUCUUGGCGAAACUCUAUACAUGCAAGGUAUGAGGCAUCACCAAGAUCCUUUAUGUCAUAAAUGGAAGAUAGAAAAUUCUUGGUUUGCCCAAAAUAUUCCAUCUCCACAAGGUACUGAUCUUACUCCCCCUCGUCUUAGAGUGUACCAACACUUGUACUAUUUCAUAAUUGAAUUUCUUGAGGUGACGUACCUUAUGUUAACUUUACCUAUUCGACCAAAACUUACGGUUGAGUCUACAUUCUUAACUUAUUCAACAGAAGAGCAUGUGAUAAUAAUAACACAAGUGUCAUAACAACUCAAGAGGAAAUGAUAUUGAGUUCCAUACACCGUUAGAGCUCAUUAUCACACAAGCAUCUAAGAUGAUCAUUCACACACAUUAUCAAUCAUAUGGAAAUUGUUAAGUCUCAACACUAAGUGUUGCAAUAUGUAUUUCCUCUCAACUUACCUCAUGCAUAUGAAGAAAGAUCUAAUGGAGUUAUCCUUAUGAUUCAUGUUCAUACGCUCCAGGUCCAUGAUGAUCACUUUAUUUAAAAAAUGGAAAACAUAUACAAAAUCUUGAUAAUGAUCAUUUCAGUCCUAAACCACAACACCGUUGGGCUGAAGAUGGAAAAGAACUUAAUGGAUUGUGACAAAUGAUUAUAAACGACGUUAGUCGGAAAUAUAACACGAGCCACGUGAUACUCACAAACUUGCCACUUAAGUGAAGUGUGACAUAUGAUUAUAAAUGACGUUGGUCAAAUAUAUAAUCAACACGUCACAUCAUGAUGGUCAUUACCCUAGCAAGCUUGCCACUUCAGCAUUCAUGUGUGCUUCAUAAUGCUUACAAGAGAGUAAGUUAACACUAACAUGAUAAAGGAGUCGUUUUUCAUUCAUUCUUCUAAAUAAGACUUGUUGCAUCUUAAUUAGAGAACCAACAUUAGAAUGUGUUUUUCAUAAAUUCUCCGACCAAGAUUUCUCGUUGGUUCCACCCUAAUUAGAGAAUUGGUAUACAUAUUUGCUUAGUUGUACAUGCUAUGAUCUAAGUAGGAGAAGUGAACGUAACAUCUCAUAUUAACUUAAAUGAGACUUCCAUUCUCCCCCUCAAAAUGUGGUCUAAAACCACAAUUUUGAUGAGGUCUCAUUAAUUACACUUCUCUUACAUCUUUAAUUAUAACAUAGCAUAUAAUGUUUACAAAUGAUCCAUUCGAAAAACAUACUGGUCUCACCCUAGGGUGGGACUAACAUUACAUUAUUAGAGCUGACUUGAUAUCAUACAAAAUCAUGUCAUCUGUUCGAGACAAAGUUAAGGUUCUCCAAUAACUAGGAGCAUUAGAAAACAUCAUCAAUAAGAUUAAGUCAUCUCCAAAAGCUAAUGGAACAAAUCCAAUAGUUUUGACUUUAAUCUUCUUUAUAUUAUUAAUGUGCAUGAUUGCACAUGUGUCUUGAGAUCUCUCCCAAUGUCUGCCUUAUCAUCAUGAUUAACAUCCUUCAACCUUGGUGGCAGAAAAAAGUUUGGAGAUUCCUAAAUGAGACGAUGAUCUCCACUCUCCAUGUGGGGAAGUUAUUUACAGAAGGUUCGUCUAUGCCAAAACGAAAGUUUGGCAUCAUUAUUAAUGUUCAUUGCUAAAAAAGAGACAACAGUAUGAGCAUCGCAACAAAACAUCAAGCAUGAAUUAACCAUGCAAUGAGAUGAAUCAAAGAGAUGCUUAGAUUUUAUUCUAAUCCAUAUUCAUGAAUGGCACAUGAAAAUAAUCAACGCUGGUCGGAAUAUCAUCAUAUGCCAUUAUAACUUGUUUUUUCUUAAUUAAAUCUCUAAUCAAAACAUCUCGUUGGUUCCAUUUUGACUAGAGAGUCAUAAAAUCACAUAAUUACAAGCAAAAACUUUGGCUAAAUUAAUAGCUAACAUUAACAUAAAGUAACAACACAAAACCUUGUUUGCCAUACACAAUGAUACCUUUUGUCACUAAAGUUGACACUGCUAAUAACAUUGAACACAAGUGUCAAAAUUACCAUUAAAGUUCCUAAUGACAUAAAUGAAAAUGACAUUGAAUUUAACAUGAACAUAAAACAAGGUCAUUGCCAACAUUAAAACUGACAUUUGGAGUGAAAAUGACAUUAACAUUACCAUGAGGGUAUCAUAAGAUUUUCCAAAUAAUAAAAUUUGGACAUAAAGUUACAUAAGAAUUCACCAAAUAAUAAUAUUGGGUAAACUAUAACGGUCAAAUAAAUGGCAACAUGUACUUUGUAUAGAUUCCUCAAUAAUGUCGCAUACUGACUAGGGUACAUAUCACAGAAAAUUCUUUAAACAAAAUUCCUUUGCUAAGGGAAUUGUGAUCAUAAUUCAUAAACAUCAUUUUGGACCAUUAUGAAUAUUUAAGCGGUGCAUAUAACAAAAAGGCAUAAAAUGCACCAACCAAAAGCUUUAGUUUUGCCCAAUAGUCAUAUUUUCUAACAUUAUUAUGAUGCAUAGUGCGAUGCGGAAAACCGAACCAUACGACUAUCAAUAUCAUCCUUGAGGAGGCCUCAGCCAUUUAGAAAUGAUCACAUCAUUAAGAAAAGUCACAAGGAUGGUAUCAACAUAAACAUCACACUCAAUUAAAAUUUCCACAAAAAAUAUCAUAGAAACUUUAGGGAAUAAAACAUUAUAAAUUGUGAUUAAAUAAAUAUCAUUUCACAACAUUAAUGUUCGAACUCAAAAGAAAUGACACAAAGAAAUAUCAUCAUUUAAAAUGCCAUAAAUGACAUUAACGUUAUACCACGUUAAUAUUUUCCAAAUAAAAUUUCUCAUCAGUCCAUUUUAUUAAGAAAAUUCAAAGAUUAUCUUUACAACCUGUUUUCUGGCUAUCUUCAAUUUAUAUUAGUGCAAAAUUAUUUGGAGGAUAAUCAUAUUUUAGAAAUGCACUGAAUAAAAAAAAUUGCACAGAACUUCAAUUUUAGCUCACAAUACCCACGGCUGCCCAUUCAAACUUUGUCCCAGCAGAGAAAAACAUUAAAAAAAACUUUUCUGCUGGCUAAAAAGACUUGGGCCAUAGCCCACUGAUGCAUUUGGCCUGUUAAGCGUCCGCAGCCGCCCUGAGCACUUCAUCGAUCUCGAUCGUCCGAUCAAACCGACGGGCCAGAUCAGCCCUAGGAGGAACAAAACGGUGCUGGGUCAAACCCUAGCGUCAUUUCCCCUCUUCUCCCUGAUUUUGCUGCUCCCGCAGAACAGAUGACACCGGCGGCGAUCCGAGGCACGCCGGCUAUGGCGGUGCGGCAGCCCCGUUCGUCGGAGCAGCGUGCCUGGCUCAAGGCCGCACGCUCCUCCACCGAAUGGUGCUAGCCGUGUCAACCUCAUGGUGCGCAGGGAGCUAGUCCGUGCCGGCGACGCGCACGAGGCGCUCGACGGCGAGGCGGGGAGGCGACCGCCGGCGCCUGAUCUCUGGUAGUCGAUGACGACGACGUGCGCGGCAUAGGGGCCGCGCAACGUUCGCGUCCAUAAGGCGUCGCCGCCGGCCAUUUCUUUCCGCGCGUCGUCCCGUGAGACAGCGGCGUCGCCGGUGUUGGGACCCCGAAGGAGAGCACCGGCACGGCGUCAUUAGGUGAAGGCCAAUCCAUUUCUUCUUUCAAUUUCAACUUUCACAGUCUGGUUUGGGGAAUCUUUCUAUGGUUUGGGUUUCGGUUGAUUGGGCAUUUUGGGGAUUUCAUUAGUUUAUCCAAUCACCUCCUGAUUUCUAUCCUGAGAUUUGAGCCGCAAAUAGAGCUAAUUGCAACUAACAGAUAGUAUUGAUCACUAAACUUGAUUAAUCAACUUUAACAGAAAACAAUGGGCUUAAACAUGGUUAGCCGAAAAUAUAUAACUUGAGGCUUUAAACAUUAAGCAGAAGUCAAGUUAGGGUUCUAGCCGAGAUUAACCAUGCUCUAGAUAUCAAUAAUAGAUAUAAUUCCUUUAGAUUAACUUACACAUGAUCUUAUUCUUGUGAUUAGAACACCUCUUAUGCGGAAUAAUAGUGACUAACCGUGAUUGGCAGGAAUCAGCAAGAGAUAGCCCAUGGCUCCACCUUGGGGUCUCCGGCAGUGAAGACAUGCCCGGGGAAGAAGGGCAGCACCACCUGGGUGACGUAGAUGGCAGCAGGCGCUUGUGGAGAUGCAGCAGCUGGUCCAGGAGCCUCGCUGGUGGCAGCAGGAAACCGCCGGCACUGC